Molecule: long non-coding RNA, 1206 nt
Organism: Psammomys obesus (fat sand rat)
Lineage: Eukaryota; Metazoa; Chordata; Mammalia; Rodentia; Muridae
Exons: 4
Source: RefSeq, a predicted model, not a curated record
UUAGAGAUGACUUCGGCAGCACGCCCAGCGAAGGGUUUCCCGGAGAAGGGAGCUCGGCAGUCUGGCCUCAGGCCGGCCGCCCUGGAACUUUAAAGCAGCUCUCAGAAUCCGCUCACUUCCAGGAUUCUGAGCCUCACCUCUCUGGGUGUCCGAAUUCCUGCACUAGGCAGCAAGAGGGGACUGGAAUGUGUGCCAAACUGGUCUGGCCUUUGUAGGAGACUCCAAAGCCCGCCUCCACAGUGAUGCACUUUCUCCAGCGAGGCCACAGCUCCUAAGAGUGGCAUUCCCCAUGGGCCAAGCAUUCAAACACAUGAGUCUAGGGGGCCAAACCUAUUCAAACCACCACAACAUACUUCUUAAGACCACAGAGAUACCUGGCUGGAAACGACCUGGAAGUUUCCUCUCUGCUGACGAGGUGACACAGUGCCAGCAGGUGCUGAACAAGAUGCUGGGGGAGAAUAAAUAUUGGUGGAUUUAUCCAGCGAAGGACCCUUCAUGCUACAAAAACGACAUGCUAGGCCUGAUGUAUCCACUGGUACAAUAAUGGCCUGAGCGUAUGGUUGAAGAUAAGACCCUGUUACCGAAGACAGCAUGCACUAUAGACGGAGGACUCUGGAGCUGAGCUGGGCCUGACCUGAAAUCUCAAUCCCUGAGACUAGCGUUCAUAGUUAUCAUAUAAGGUGCCAAAAGCGGGGACCGAUCAGUAAUCCUACCCACCUGUGAAGCCUGUGAGCCACAGCAAUGAGCAGCAUGGCAUGAUACUCUUAAGGAUACAAUAGCGACACUCAUCUUGGUGGCAACCAACAGCUUUCUAAUUGGACUUGGGGCCUGCUCAUGAGGAGGAAAAUCAUGCCCAGAAUUGAAAACCUAACCACAUUUCGAGGACUAAUGAGGUCUUGGACCUUAGAGAGACUUUUUUUCCAUCACUUUAGUAUACCAGCACAAUUCCUAAUUUUAGUUAACAUUGAAAUUCUCUAGCUCUGAGUCUCUAGAUGGACAAAUAAUACCCGUGGCAAUACCAGUUCCUCUAUUCCUGUACUGUGUUCUUUCUAGAGUGAUAGACUAAGAGGGUUUGGGAUUCUUAAGAUAAACAUGGUCUAAUCUGUCCAUGUGCUGAUGAGGACACUGACACGAGCCUCUUAGGGAAUCCAUCGUCAUCCAUACUCUAUGCUGGUGGCACCUUAAAAUUGCUCUUCUUCCCACAAU